GAUGAACGCUGGCGGCGUGCCUAAUACAUGCAAGUUGAUCGAACAGACGAGGAGCUUGCUCCUCUGACGUUAGCGGCGGACGGGUGAGUAACACGUGGAUAACCUACCUAUAAGACUGGGAUAACUUCGGGAAACCGGAGCUAAUACCGGAUAAUAUAUUGAACCGCAUGGUUCAAUAGUGAAAGACGGUUUUGCUGUCACUUAUAGAUGGAUCCGCGCCGCAUUAGCUAGUUGGUAAGGUAACGGCUUACCAAGGCAACGAUGCGUAGCCGACCUGAGAGGGUGAUCGGCCACACUGGAACUGAGACACGGUCCAGACUCCUACGGGAGGCAGCAGUAGGGAAUCUUCCGCAAUGGGCGAAAGCUUGACGGAGCAACGCCGCGUGAGUGAUGAAGGUCUUCGGAUCGUAAAACUCUGUUAUUAGGGAAGAACAAAUGUGUAAGUAACUAUGCACGUCUUGACGGUACCUAAUCAGAAAGCCACGGCUAACUACGUG
Molecule: ribosomal RNA, 497 nt
Filed under: uncultured bacterium
Lineage: Bacteria
Description: partial 16S ribosomal RNA
Rfam family: Bacterial small subunit ribosomal RNA
Source: RNAcentral